This 508-nucleotide ribosomal RNA is filed under the name uncultured bacterium. RNAcentral describes it as "bacterial SSU rRNA". It matches the Rfam family "Bacterial small subunit ribosomal RNA", at positions 8 to 518 of the family's 1533-position model. The record is from RNAcentral.
AGAGUUUGAUUCUGGCUCAGGAUGAACGCUGGCGGCGUGCCUAACACAUGCAAGUCGAACGGAGCUUAUAUGGACAGCGGCUUCGGCCAAGAAAGAUAAGUUAGUGGCGGACGGGUGAGUAACGCGUGGGGAACCUGCCCUGUACCGGGGGAUAACAGAGGGAAGCUUCUGCUAAUACCGCAUAAGCGCACAGUGCCGCAUGGCACAGUGUGAAAAACUCCGGUGGUACAGGAUGGCUCCGCGUUGGAUUAGCCAGUUGGCGGGGUAACGGCCCACCAAAGCGACGAUCCAUAGCCGGCCUGAGAGGGUGGACGGCCACAUUGGGACUGAGACACGGCCCAGACUCCUACGGGAGGCAGCAGUGGGGAAUAUUGCACAAUGGGGGGAACCCUGAUGCAGCGACGCCGCGUGAAGGAAGAAGUAUCUCGGUAUGUAAACUUCUAUCAGCAGGGAAGAUAAUGACGGUACCUGACUAAGAAGCCCCGGCUAACUACGUGCCAGCAGCCGC